Molecule: unclassified non-coding RNA, 240 nt
Filed under: Hevea brasiliensis (rubber tree)
Lineage: Eukaryota; Viridiplantae; Streptophyta; Magnoliopsida; Malpighiales; Euphorbiaceae
Source: RNAcentral
AUGAACUUAUUAAAACAACAGACUCAUAUAUAUGACAGAAACACAGCAAACUUGGUCAAGGGAUCGUAGAUCAUUAUACCAUCAAAUAACAAAGGGACAGAUGCUAAGAUACUGCAUAUGCUUACAUCCAGUAAAAGAACGGGGACUUGACAUAAUGUGCGUUGGAGAUGCCACAAGUGAAAAUCUAACCUAGGGCUUGGUAACUGUAUUCUCAAGAAACCAUGGCAAUGAAAGAGGAGG